RNAcentral lists this ribosomal RNA (300 nucleotides) under uncultured Paraeggerthella sp. RNAcentral describes it as "bacterial SSU rRNA". It matches the Rfam family "Bacterial small subunit ribosomal RNA", at positions 495 to 795 of the family's 1533-position model. The record is from RNAcentral. Lineage: Bacteria; Bacillati; Actinomycetota; Coriobacteriia; Eggerthellales; Eggerthellaceae.
GGCAAAAGAGGUGACGGCGGGCAUGGAAAUACGGAGACGGGAAGCGGUGGCCGGAAUGAUUGGGGGGAAAGAGAGGGCAGGCGGGAAACGAAGCGGAUCUUAAAAGUGCGGGGCUCAACCCCGUGAUGGGGUCCGAACUGGGUUUCUUGAGUGCAGGAGAGGAAAGCGGAAUUCCCAGUGUAGCGGUGAAAUGCGUAGAUAUUGGGAAGAACACCAGUGGCGAAGGCGGCUUUCUGGACUGUAACUGACGCUGAGGCUCGAAAGCUAGGGUAGCGAACGGGAUUAGAUACCCUUGUAGUC